RNAcentral lists this long non-coding RNA (6545 nucleotides) under Canis lupus familiaris (dog). RNAcentral describes it as "lncRNA (ENSCAFG00000051332.1)". Lineage: Eukaryota; Metazoa; Chordata; Mammalia; Carnivora; Canidae. The record is from RNAcentral.
UUAUUUAUUUUUAAGAUUUUAUUUACUUAUUCAUGAGGGACACACAGAGAGGCAGACAGAGACACAGAGACAGGAGAAGCAGGCUCCACGUAAGGAGCCUGAUAUGGAACUCUAUCCUGGGACUCUGGGAUCACACCCUGAGCUGAAGGCAGACGCUCAACUGCUGAGCCACCCAGGUGUCCCUAAAGAUUUAUUUAUUCAUAAGAGGCACAGACAGAGAGAGGCAGAGACAUAGGCAGAGGGAGAAGCAAGCUUCUUCCAGGGAGCCCCAUGUGGGACUUGAUCCCUGAUCCUGGGAUCAUGCCCUGAGCCAAAGGCAGACGAUCAAACACUGAGCUACCCAGGUGUCCCAAGAUGGCAGUUUAGAAAUACCUCAGAGGCUACACAAUGUCCAAGAGGAAUAAGGCACUGUUGUCAGAAAACAAAAAGCUCAGGUAGUAGAAGAAUGGAUUUCUGACUUGAAUGUUAGAAAGUAUAAUCUUUAGGGGCUCCUCAGUCAGUUGGGCGGCCAAGUCUUGAUUUUGGCUCAGGUCAUGAUCUCUGUGUCCUGAGAUAAAGCCCAUUGUAGAGCUCUGUGCUCAGUGAAGUCUGUUUGAGAUCCUUUCUCUCCUUCUGCCCCUCCUUCAGCUCACACACAUACUCUCUCUCUCUCUGAUUAGCACAAUAUAUGUCAGGCGGUGGACCCCAGUGCUAGUUUGCUGGUUUAUUUACACAGUUGUAAUUGCUUGAGUUUCUAAAGUUUAGGCUUUAUUGUUAUUCAUCUGAGUAUAAGCAUGAUAGUUCUUUAAACACCUUUUAAUACUUAGUCUAGUCAGCAGCCACCAUAGAUAUUAAUAAAACCUAUAUGUGGUGACAGGCCUGCUCCUUCUUUUUGGUUGACUUGCUGUACCAGUUGGUAAUAAACACUUCCUCCUCUGUGGUUAAACACCCAAGUUAGUCAAGUCAGUUACCAGUCAUUAGGAAAUGGAAGUCAUAUAAAUAUAAAAAUGUUUUAAAGUAGCAAAACUUGGAUUGUGACAUAGCUCAUUCAUAAUUAGCAUGACAGAUUAUAUAUAUAUAUAUAUGUAUAUAUAUACAUAUAUAUGAAUUUUAGGCUAAAAGUUGAAUAUUUUCAAUUCAUGCUCAUCUGUUGUUCACCUCUUGGUACUGGUUCUACUUUAACUUUCUUUUAAUACUUAAAAAAAUUUCUCUUCAUUAGUGGGUAUUUACACCUUGCUACUUAAGGUCAAAUUUAAUUCAUGCAUAACUUUUGGAGUACCUGCCUUUCAAAGGUUCAGGUUUCCAGUCAAUUGAACAUUAUUUUCUUAUUUGAUGUGUUCAUUAAUUAUAAUAGGAGAUUGGUAACUGGACAAAUCUGGCCCAAUUUUACCAUACAACUCUAAAUGAUUAUUCAAAUAAAUGACUUGUAUACACAGAUUAUACUUUUAACUCUUUUUAGGAACUGCAUAUUUUAUAAAUUACUUUUAAGAAGAAGCUGCAGUUAAAAUAUAGACUAUUUUCAGCAUGAGUUCAGGUCUGCCACAAUUGGUAAGCUCAUGAAUUUUUUUCCUCAAAAUCUACUUCUUCAUGGUCAAAACUAUAUCAGUUAUCAUAUUUUUCCCUAUACUUCAUCAUUUUGUUUUCAAAAAUACUUAAGUAUAAUUUGAAAAUCUUGUAACAUUACAUUUUCAAAUGGAGUUGGUCUGAGCCAAUAGAAAUAAAAAAAUAACCAACUUUUAAUAUGUUCUUGCUAUGUUCCAGACUUUGUACUAAAUAUUGUAUAACUGUUAUUUUAUUUAACUCAUAUGGUAACCCAGUGAGGUAGAUACUUGCUAUGGGUUGAAUUAUAUGUCUCUCUAAAUAAUAUGACUGUGUUUGGAGAUAAGGCUUUGAAAGAGAUAAUUAAGGUAAAAUCAAGUCAUAAAGUAAGCUCUAACCCAAUAUGACUGGUGUCUCUCUCUCUCUAGGACACAGAUGACCAUGUGAAGACAAAGGAGAAGAUGGCCAACUACAAAACUAUAAGACAAGGAAAGAGACAUCAGAAUUAAGUCAACCACAUGACACAUUCAUCUUGGAUUUCUAGCUUCCAGAAUUGUGAGAAAAUAAAUUAUUGUUACAUAAGCUACUCAGUCUGUGUUAAUUUGUUAUGGCAAUCCUGAUAGACUAACACAGUAAGAUUAUUAUUCCCAUUUUAUAAAUGCAUCAUCUGAGGUUUCAAGAGAUCAAAGUGUCAAGAACCACAUGGAUAGAAAGUGGUUGAGUUGGGGUUCAAAUCCUGGUUACUUGCUAAGUAAAUAUCUCCAUCACAUCCCAAGUGCAGUCACUAUGUCCAAAGGCACAAACAUAAAGAAAAAAAAUUCCAAAGUGGAGCAGGACUAAAGGGUAUAAAUUAUGAAUUGUUAAAUAGUCCUUGUAUCAAAAUCAAGCAUUGCAUGAAAACAGUGUGGAUGUGGCUAAUGGCAGUAAUGGUAUUCUCAGACACCAUGUCCUUCCUGUUAUUAUAAAGCAUUUUUACUCACUGCCCACAAGUCCCAAAGUUGUUCUGAAAAGUACAAGGUCCAUAAACAGAUGCUUAUUUAUUUAUUUAUUUAUUUAUUUAUUUAUUUAUUCAUGAGAGACACCCAGAGAGAGGGGCAGAGACAUAGAUAGAAGGAGAAGCAGGCUCCAUGCAUGGAGUCCGAUGUGAGACUCAAUCCCAGGAUCUCCAGGAUCACGCCCUGAGCUGAAGGCAGACACUUAACUGCUGAGCCACCAAGGCAUCCCCAACAAAUACUUCUUUAAGGAAGUAAAGGGAAGAUAAGAAGGAAUUCUUAGAAAAUAAAUUUGGAAAAUUCUCUUUAUCCCCCUUUUGGAGCAUCCUGUUGUGUAUUACCAUGUUGAAGAUUCUAGAGUAAAGAAAUAUCUUUAUCUAAUCUCGUGUUUUCUAACUUGAUUGAUCAUAAGACUCAUUUUCUGCAACAGCUAUUUACAUUCUACAGUGUUCAUGUUUCUCAGCACGAAUUAAAAAAAAAAUGCUUACACAGAAGUGAUGGUAGUGAUAGCUAAUGCUAUGGUGGUAAUCAUACUGCUAUAUGUAAGUGUAUCCAGUCAACAUGCUGUACACCUUAAACUUACACAAAGUUCUAUGUCAUUUAUAUUUCAAUAAAGCUAGAAAAAAAUGCUCGCAUAAGUAAUAGGCUCUUUGAAGUAAGAGGGUGUUAAUGGCAAACCAUGUAUUUCACAAUUAAUUACUUGAACUAAAUUUUACAUUACAAUUUACAUUGCUAUUUUAAAAUCUCACAAAUAACAAGCAUACGUGUUCAAUCCCAAAUAAGAUUUCUAAAGAGCACUUUACACUUAAAUGGGAGAAGUAUUAAGAAAGGUCAUAUGCUUACAUGCAUACAAAUUAGUUUUAACAAAACAAACGUACAUCUAUCCUUUGAGUCAGGUUAUCAAACUCAUUCAUCUGAAUGAAAAAAAAUUAGAAUUUUCAACAUAAUAAUUUUCAUGUUUUUCCAUUGCAUCGGAGAUAAUGUUAUCUCUAUGACAGAAAAGGACAAGUACAUAUUCUGUUGGAAGCUAAUUAUAGUAAACAUUAAGAAAGUACUACCUCAUUUUAUGCCUCAUCGUUAGCGCUGAUUGUUUACCAAAAAUCUAUAUGUUAAGGGUAGUUCUCCAAGCCUUCACACAUUCAAGACAGGCAUGCAAGUGACCUGAAGAACCCAAGGAAAGGGUGGCUUGGUAACAUUUUUACUAUGUGGAAAUAUCACAUGCUAUUUGAUCUAUUUGUUUUGACAUAUUUGUUCUUAAAAAUGCCAACCCCAUUACAUAGGCAGGGUUAGCCUACAUCUUUUCUCUCUGAGCUUGGUGGGUCCAGCAUCAGUUCUUGUGCUCAAUGAUUGAGAGAUAACACUACUUCCUGUGUGUCUUAUUUAAGAAAAUUCAGAAAUUUAAAAGAAGAAAUUGAGACUUUCAUUUUACAAAGACAUUGUAAACUUUAAAAAAUCAUUUUAUAGAGAGAUCAACAGUUUUUUUUCCUUAAAUAUUCUUUCAAAUACACUUCAAUUUGCACACAACUUUCCAAGAAAGUAUUUUUUACUUAGAAUGUAGUACAUCAGCAUUUUAAAUUUUCUCCCACAAUUAUUUUACAUACAUUUAAUUAUAAUUUACACUUAACCUUGAGGGCACAGAAAGUUACUUAGACUAUUUUAAAGUUAUAAUUAUUUUGUGCCAUAGAUAGAUUUUUAAUUAAGAGGAUAACUCUAUACAGUCUAAAUUAUGAUCUUUACUAUAUUAUAAUAGUUUUAUAUUUUAGGGAAGAAUUAAUUUAAUUUUAAAAUAAAUAAUUUGAUUAAUUAGUGAUAAAAUAUUUGUGUAUGUAAAUUAAUGUCUUUUAAUGCAAUGAUCUUUUUGCAGAUCAGAGAAUGCUAAUAAUAGGACACUAACUAUAAAUAGUUCUUUUAUACAUAUUAAUGAUCCAUAAUAAGAAAAUAGUUUGUUAUUUUAACAAAUCAUAAUAGUAUUCCCUUCUUUGUAUAAUAGUAAAUACAAAGAAUAUUUUCUAAAAUUUAUUUAAAUUCAGACACAUUUCCUUAUUUUAAACCUAAUUAUUAUUCUUUGAGCUUUCUAAAACUUUAUCUUACUUGUUAAUAUUGUUAUCUAAAUCUCCUGUGCUACAUAUAGGCAAAGAGGCAUAUGUAAGUGAAAAAUAUCUCUAGAGUAUAUAGGACUUGAUAUUAAACUAAAUAAUGUGUAACCUAAUUAUAUUUUAUGAAAAAUAAUUUGUUAAAAAUAUAUAUAUUUUUUUGCUAAGGAAAAAAGCUACAUCUUUUGCUUAAUAGACUUCUAUGCUUUGCUUUUUUCCCCUGAAAUUACAAAAAACGAAUUUAAAAAUAUUUAUUUUGUGGCUUAAAAACUUUUGGAAACAUUUCAAAUGGGGUACAUUGACAACUUGAAAUUAUUUACUCAAAUAAUGAGAAGAGGGAUCCCUGGGUGGCACAGCGGUUUGGCGCCUGCCUUUGGUCCGGGGAGCGAUCCUGGAGACCCGGGAUCGAAUUCCACGUCGGGCUCCCUACAUGGAGCCUGCUUCUCCCUCUGCCUGUGUCUCUGCCUCUCUGUCUCUCUCUGUGUGACUAUCAUGAAUAAAUAAAUAAAAUCUUUAAAAAUAAUAAUGAGAAGAGUUUUUUUAAUAUUAGAUUUUUCCAGAGCCUGAAUUUCACAUUAAAAAAAUAACAAAGAAACAAAAUAUAAAUGUUUGUUAGUUUGUUUUUUUUUUUUUCAGUUCCAUAGUAGAUAAAAAUGCAUCUAGCGUUGUAUUUUAGGGAAACCACCUCUCCCUUUCCCUUUCUAGAGAAAGCCAGUGCUGUUCACGUAAUCCUGACAUGUGUUUGUUCUGAUUGUGUCUCACCCCUUCCCAGGCUCUUAGGGUGGGGCUUGUGAUCCAGGCCUGGCCUAACAUAUUAUUGUCAGAGUAUGAUCGGCUCUGUCCCAGUCCCUCACUGGGACUUUUGAGAUGUCAUGGUAAUCUCUGGGAUCUAAAGAUCAUGUAAACCUAAAACAGUCUUUGCCCAUUGCUCGUCUAAGGGGGAGACCUUCCUGGACAAUGAAGCAAAAAGGUAGGGGAGUCCAAUAAAAAGAUAGAGGUAGAGCCUUGUUGUCCUUCUUUGAGAUUCAGCUGAGAUUGUAACAACUCUAAAUCGUGGACCAUCUUGUUACAUGAACCAAACCAAACCAAACCAGACCAAACCAAAAUAAAACAGAGACAAAAAAUAAACAAAUGAACCAUUGUUGCUUCAGUUGAUUGGAGUUAGGUUCUGUCACUUGAAAUCAAGAGUCUUUAUCUGAUAUAAGUACAUUAUUUCAUCUGAACACCAGAGCUUGGGAAAUUGAGUAAAUUCAAUGUGUUUAACAAAUAUUGAGUUUCAAAUAUGUUCUAGGCACUAUUCCAGAACAUAGGAUUUAAAAAAAAAUCUCUGUCCUUUACAAACCUGUAUUUUACUUGGGGGACAUAGCUAAUAAAACAUAAUCACAAUUAAUUAGUAAAUUUAAUGUAUACGUGGAGGAAGAGAAUUCCAGACAAAGCAAAAGCCAAUGUCAUUGCACAAUCAUAUCUAUUAUAUCCAAGGAGCAAUAGGGAGAGAAGAUUUCUAUAGAAAGAGAAGCAGAGAGUCUGGGUCAGUAGCUCCUGGGGAAAUUGGAAUCAAGAAAAUACUUGGGUGGGGGGGACACCUGGGUGGCUCAGCGGUUGAGCGCCUGCCUUCGACCCAGGGCGUGAUCCUGGAGUCCUGGAAUUGAGUCCCACAUCGAGGUCCCUGCAUAGAGCCUGCUUCUCUCUCUGACUAUGUCUCUGCCUCUCUCUCUCUCUCUCUGUGACACUCUCAUGAAUAAAUAAAUAAAAUCUUAAAAAAAAAAGAAAAAGAAAAUACCUGGGGGAAUCAACCAAUGUAGAAGGAAACACUGAUCACACAGGAGAGAAAAGGCAGAGUUGCUCACCAGGAAGACAUUGGUUGAGGUCUAGUCAAUAAGAGAAGGAUAUUGGAACUAUUCCCUAUCCUUUUCAAAGCUAUCCUUGAAAAGGAUAUGGAAUA